UAGGCAGACGGUAAGUGCUUUGACGUACAGUUAGGUCAUGAAAAGACUAUGACCAACAUGCUGCCUGCACUGACAGGAAGCAACGUCAUCUAUGGUA
This 97-nucleotide non-coding RNA is filed under the name uncultured Emergencia sp. RNAcentral's name for it is "Pyrrolysine insertion sequence mttB". It matches the Rfam family "Pyrrolysine insertion sequence mttB". Lineage: Bacteria; Bacillati; Bacillota; Clostridia; Peptostreptococcales; Anaerovoracaceae. The record is from RNAcentral.